Long non-coding RNA from Cloeon dipterum, 286 nucleotides. RefSeq lists it as uncharacterized. The transcript has 3 exons. NCBI's taxonomy places the organism in Eukaryota, Metazoa, Arthropoda, Insecta, Ephemeroptera, Baetidae. The record is from RefSeq and is a predicted model, not a curated record.
GUUGUCUCCCGGCAUUUGGCCAAAAUGAAUCGUCUGAAGGAAGUUAAAUGUCAGCAGCCCUUACUAAGACAUCUCUUUGAAAAGGGCGACGAUUAUAGCCUUAGCAGCUCCAGCGCUUCAGGGGCUUGCUCACAAUCAGCACUACCGGGGACAUCUUCUCGCGAUCAUAGCUCGGAUGCAGACAAUAAUUCUGUGUGUGGUGAUCCAAAAGAGCGUUACGUCCGGAUGACGUAUUUGCCGGAAAAGGACAAGACCACGAUGAAGGAGAAUUUGUGCGGCCAAGAAA